GCGAAAUCCAAACGGUUGGUGUCCUGACGCCACAAGGGUCAGGCCCUUCCAUCAUUUCAUACACCUUUGUCGAACUGUGAGAGGAUAGGGUAACACUUAUCCUCUACUUUUUCAAACUCUUAAAGUCUAAGAAUGAAGUCUUGGUUAAAACCAAAAUA
RNAcentral lists this unclassified non-coding RNA (158 nucleotides) under uncultured fungus. RNAcentral's name for it is "sequence contains ITS1". The record is from RNAcentral. Lineage: Eukaryota; Fungi.